UUGAAAGGGAAACGAUUGAAGUCAGUCGUACCGACGAGAAAUCAACCUAUCGUGUGCGAACUUGUGGGCGUGCGUGAGUUUCGGCCUCGCUGUUUGCAUGUUUGUGCGUUUUGGGUGUACUUUUUCGUAUGGUAGGCCAACGUCAGUUUCGAUUAUCAUAAAAUGACCGGCGGAAUGUAGCUUCGAUUUCGGUUGAAGUGUUAUAGCCUCUGGUAGAUGUGGUGAUUGAGACUGAGGAUUGCAACGAAUACCCUUUGGGCUAUCCGUCUGGCCUCUGAAAGUUGCUCAGGUGCCGAAAGCGUGCUUACGGUCAUCUAAGAUAACGUUCAACAGGUUAGAACGUGAUUACAUUCGUUAAGGAUGUUGAC
This 368-nucleotide ribosomal RNA is filed under the name uncultured Glomeromycotina. RNAcentral's name for it is "eukaryotic LSU rRNA". The record is from RNAcentral. Lineage: Eukaryota; Fungi; Glomeromycota.